CGUGAGGGAGACGGCCCCGGGUUGUAAACCUCUUUUAGUAGGGAAGAAGCGAAAGUGACGGUACCUGCAGAAAAAGCACCGGCUAACUACGUGCCAGCAGCCGCGGUAAUACGUAGGGUGCAAGCGUUGUCCGGAAUUAUUGGGCGUAAAGAGCUCGUAGGCGGUUUGUCGCGUCUGCUGUGAAAUCCCGAGGCUCAACCUCGGGCUUGCAGUGGGUACGGGCAGACUAGAGUGCGGUAGGGGAGAUUGGAAUUCCUGGUGUAGCGGUGGAAUGCGCAGAUAUCAGGAGGAACACCGAUGGCGAAGGCAGAUCUCUGGGCCGUAACUGACGCUGAGGAGCGAAAGCAUGGGGAGCGAACAGGAUUAGAUACCCUGGUAGUCCAUGCCGUAAACGUUGGGCGCUAGAUGUAGGGACCUUUCCACGGUUUCUGUGUCGUAGCUAACGCAUUAAGCGCCCCGCCUGGGGAGUACGGCCGCAAGGCUAAAACUCAAAGGAAUUGACGGGGGCCCGCACAAGCGGCGGAGCAUGCGGAUUAAUUCGAUGCAACGCGAAGAACCUUACCAAGGCUUGACAUACACCGGAACGGCCAGAGAUGGUCGCCCCCUUGUGGUCGG
This 615-nucleotide ribosomal RNA is filed under the name Curtobacterium sp. Ri2Pt_4220. RNAcentral describes it as "bacterial SSU rRNA". It matches the Rfam family "Bacterial small subunit ribosomal RNA", at positions 400 to 1029 of the family's 1533-position model. The record is from RNAcentral. Lineage: Bacteria; Bacillati; Actinomycetota; Actinomycetes; Micrococcales; Microbacteriaceae.